UCUUAACAACAUAAUUUUAUUAAAUGCAGUAAAAGCUUUUUCGCCAUUAAAGAUUAGACUUGGGGGCACCCUGCAAGAUAAUGUCAUAUAUCAAACUCAGAGUAAUCAAUGCUGCCAUUCAUUUGUUAAGAAUUCCCCAGAGUUGUUUGGCUUCACUCAAUGGUGCCUUCCUUCGUCUUGAUGGGAUGAAUUAAACUCCUUUUUCAAGAAAUCUGGGUACAUAAGAAGCACUGCCUUGGUUAGUUAGACUGAGAAUAAGGUCCGAUGGUUCAAUAGUUGGAGCUUGGGAUUCCUCAAAUGGUGAAGCUUUUAUUCAUUACAUUGUUGAAAAGGGCUACAACAUAUAUGGCUGGGAACUUGGGAAUGAACUUUCCGGCGGUGAAGUUGGGACAAGAGUUGCACCUGAUCAGUAUGCUUCUAAUACAAUCGUACUACACAACAAAGUACUAGAAAUCUACAAGGAUGUA
Coffea eugenioides is the source of this 467-nucleotide long non-coding RNA. RefSeq lists it as uncharacterized. NCBI's taxonomy places the organism in Eukaryota, Viridiplantae, Streptophyta, Magnoliopsida, Gentianales, Rubiaceae. The record is from RefSeq and is a predicted model, not a curated record. The transcript has 4 exons.